GCAAUUCGAGUAUUUAGGGACGUCCUGUACUCUCCAAGGUAUUCUUCCUGAGAGUCUACAUGUUUCUUCUGGUGCUCAAAUUUCUAAAUACUUCAGUGUGAUGGGACAGGGCCCCACUCUCAUGUUGUUGACUAGUUCUAUCCAAACCACUCUGACCUUACCAUCACAGACUGUGCACAAAGAUGUUGAAUUGCUCUUAAAUGAAUUUGAG
This 211-nucleotide long non-coding RNA is filed under the name Gossypium barbadense (sea-island cotton). RNAcentral describes it as "long non-coding RNA (GBAR_LNC008963)". The record is from RNAcentral. Lineage: Eukaryota; Viridiplantae; Streptophyta; Magnoliopsida; Malvales; Malvaceae.